GAUGCCUCGUGUUUUAACCACUUACUAUUGUGGACCAAGUGAUGCUCCUCUUGCACCAACUCCUUUUGAGGCCUUUCUAAAAGUGCCAAAGUUCCUACGCCCUCACACUCAAAUCUAUUGUACAGGUGAAUGGGUAUUUGGUAAUCGGGAGGAUCUUGUUAAGGAUUUUAUUUCUGAAUUGCAGCUAGAAAAUGGAGAGGUAAUGCUU
Long non-coding RNA from Hibiscus syriacus, 208 nucleotides. RefSeq lists it as uncharacterized. Lineage: Eukaryota; Viridiplantae; Streptophyta; Magnoliopsida; Malvales; Malvaceae. The record is from RefSeq and is a predicted model, not a curated record. The transcript has 3 exons.